UGUUUCCAGCCCAAGGAGGGUUAAACGUGUGGGAAGAGGAAGGGAAUCCCUAUUCUGGAACUUGAGACCUUCCAGCUGAGAGCAGGGGGAGAGAGAGAGAUGCAGGCGGACGUCACAACCCUCCCUGCUGCACUCGGCUCCCCUGUCAAAGGAAGUCUGCCGAAGGCGCACGGAGGGCUGCGGCACCACUGAGGCUGGAGAUAUGUAAUGCCAUCACUUCCGACUCCGAUGUUUAAUCAAAUCUGCAGACCAGAAAGUCUCCUCUUUUGGGCUAAACUGCUGAAUCCUUUUAAAGCCAAGAACGGCGUCUUUCCCGGGAAGUGAAGCCGAGAGCCUGCAAGCGCUGAGGGACCCCAGCCUCCCGAGGUCUCGCUGGAAUGAGGUGAUGCAUCCCCCCUGCGUCUCCUCUGCAGAGCCUCUCCCGCAGCCAAGAUGGACGUAGGAGCUGUCCAAGAGGCAGAGAUGCCUCCCAGCCCCUGGAGAAGAAAAGAGAAUCCAAGGGAUGGAGAGACCUUAGGCUGAGGAGGCGAAGGAGACAGGCUCUGGCGAA
RNAcentral lists this long non-coding RNA (550 nucleotides) under Naja naja (Indian cobra). RNAcentral describes it as "lncRNA (ENSNNAG00000007347.1)". Lineage: Eukaryota; Metazoa; Chordata; Lepidosauria; Squamata; Elapidae. The record is from RNAcentral.